This 433-nucleotide ribosomal RNA is filed under the name uncultured bacterium. Its description in RNAcentral is "partial 16S ribosomal RNA". It matches the Rfam family "Bacterial small subunit ribosomal RNA", at positions 29 to 507 of the family's 1533-position model. The record is from RNAcentral.
AACGAACGCUGGCGGCAUGCCUAACACAUGCAAGUCGAACGAGACGUCCGGGACUUUUGGCGCAUGGGUGCGUAACGCGUGGGAAGCUGCCCUUAGGUUCGGAAUAACUCUCCGACAGGGGUGCUAAUACCGGAUAAUGUCUUAGGACCAAAGAUUUUUCGCCUCUGGUUGUGCCAGCGUUGGAUUAGCUAGUUGGUAGGGUAAGAGCUGACUAAGGCGAGGAUCAGUAGCUGGUUUGUGAGGAUGAUCAGCGACACUGGGACUAAGACACGGCCUAGAAUCCUACGCAAUGGGGGAGUGGGUAAUAUUGGACCAUGGGCGAAGGCCUGAUCCAGCUAUGCCGGGUAAGUGAUGAUGGCCGUAGGGUUGUAAUGUUCUUUUACCCGGGAUGAUAAUGACGGUACCGGGAGAAUAAGCUCCGGCUAACUACGUG